This 1458-nucleotide ribosomal RNA is filed under the name Triticum aestivum (bread wheat). RNAcentral's name for it is "partial small subunit ribosomal RNA". Lineage: Eukaryota; Viridiplantae; Streptophyta; Magnoliopsida; Poales; Poaceae. The record is from RNAcentral.
AUGGGUGCUCUCACCGACAGCCGCAAGCGCGUCUCCGCCGACCACCGCCUCCUUCCCUCCUUCCCUUCCUCCGCUCCAUCUCCCUCCAAGAAACCCAAGCUCGCACCCCUUCUCCCCACCGCCCCUCCCCCGCCUCUCCCCUCGUCUUCUCACAUCCCCUCGUCGACUUCCUCGGCUGCGCCGGGGCCCAAUUCCUCAACCGCCUUCGCCUCCACCACCUCCUCCUCCUCAUUUUCCUCGUUGCCCCAUAGCCGCCACCGCCGCCUUCCCCCGCCACCGCCGGUCCAGCGCUCCAUCCAUGCCCCCCUGCGACGCAUCCGUGCCUUCCGCCUCGGAAAUACCCACUCCAACUCCGAUCCAUCUUCGUAUUCUCCGUCCCCGCCACCACAACCUCUAGGCCUCGACCAGUACGUCGACCUCGUCAAUAGUGUCACGCACCCCCCGCCGCUUACUCCCCCCGCUUAUGUGCCGAGAGGGGCGAAAGCUACCGUCGAGGUGGUCGCCGUCGAUGACCUGGGAGAUAUAAAGCAGGACGAAGAGGAGCGAGAUGAGGAGGACGAGGUGAAGGGUGAGGUGGUAGUGAGGAAGGUGCCUCUGUACAAGGAUCUGUAUGAGGCGUCCAGCCGGCAGCGGGACCAUAGGCUCAGGAUACUUGAGUUUGAGGUGCGUCUUGCCGAGAAGGGCCGACUUGGACUUGAGGGGCUCAAGGAGGCCCGGCCGCAAAUCACGCCCAACAAAAAGGUGGUGCCGGAACCUUUUGUUCCUCUAACGGACAAGGAUGAGGACAGUGUUCGUCGUGCUCUUGGUGGGAAGAAUAGACGUGAGAUUCUAUCGGAGCAUAAAGCUUCAAACAUUGUCAUAACAAGAGAGAUCUUGCAGUGCUUGAAUGAUAAACACUGGCUAAAUGAUGAGGUCAUAAAUUUGUAUCUUGAGCUUCUGAAGGAGCGGGAACUGAGAGAGCCUAGCAAAUUUAUAAAAUGCCACUUCUUCAACACCUUUUUCUACAAGAAGCUGAUUAAUGGUGGGUAUGAUUAUAAAGCCGUAAGGAGAUGGACAAUGAAAAGGAAGUUAGGGUACAACCUAAUUGACUGUGAUAAGAUUUUCGUUCCUAUUCACAAGGAAGUGCAUUGGUGUUUAGCUAUCAUCAACAUAAGGGACAAAAAGUUUCAGUAUCUGGAUUCACUUGGCAGCAUGGACAUGAAGGCCCUGAAAAUCAUAGCCAGAUAUCUUGUAGAUGAGGUAAAAGACAAGAAUGGCAAACAGAUUGAUGUUCUUUCAUGGAAGCACGAAGGAGUCCAAAACCUUCCUCUGCAGGAGAAUGGAUGGGAUUGUGGCAUGUUCAUGCUCAAAUACAUUGACUUCCACAGCAGAGAUAUGGGCCUUACUUUUGGGCAGAAACACAUGCCUUAUUUUCGUCAGAGGACUGCCAAGGAAAUAUUGAAUUUGAGGGCUGGAUAA